CCCCCAGUAGCGGCGAGCGAACGGGGAGCAGCCCAGAGCCUGAAUCAGUGUGUGUGUUAGUGGAAGCGUCUGGAAAGGCGCGCGAUACAGGGUGACAGCCCCGUACACAAAAAUGCACAUGCUGUGAGCUCGAUGAGUAGGGCGGGACACGUGGUAUCCUGUCUGAAUAUGGGGGGACCAUCCUCCAAGGCUAAAUACUCCUGACUGACCGAUAGUGAACCAGUACCGUGAGGGAAAGGCGAAAAGAACCCCGGCGAGGGGAGUGAAAAAGAACCUGAAACCGUGUACGUACAAGCAGUGGGAGCACGCUUAGGCGUGUGACUGCGUACCUUUUGUAUAAUGGGUCAGCGACUUAUAUUCUGUAGCAAGGUUAACCGAAUAGGGGAGCCGAAGGGAAACCGAGUCUUAACUGGGCGUUAAGUUGCAGGGUAUAGACCCGAAACCCGGUGAUCUAGCCAUGGGCAGGUUGAAGGUUGGGUAACACUAACUGGAGGACCGAACCGACUAAUGUUGAAAAAUUAGCGGAUGACUUGUGGCUGGGGGUGAAAGGCCAAUCAAACCGGGAGAUAGCUGGUUCUCCCCGAAAGCUAUUUAGGUAGCGCCUCGUGAAUUCAUCUCCGGGGGUAGAGCACUGUUUCGGCAAGGGGGUCAUCCCGACUUACCAACCCGAUGCAAACUGCGAAUACCGGAGAAUGUUAUCACGGGAGACACACGGCGGGUGCUAACGUCCGUCGUGAAGAGGGAAACAACCCAGACCGCCAGCUAAGGUCCCAAAGUCAUGGUUAAGUGGGAAACGAUGUGGGAAGGCCCAGACAGCCAGGAUGUUGGCUUAGAAGCAGCCAUCAUUUAAAGAAAGCGUAAUAGCUCACUGGUCGAGUCGGCCUGCGCGGAAGAUGUAACGGGGCUAAACCAUGCAC
This 917-nucleotide ribosomal RNA is filed under the name Escherichia coli. RNAcentral's name for it is "partial 23S ribosomal RNA". It matches the Rfam family "Bacterial large subunit ribosomal RNA", at positions 237 to 1194 of the family's 2925-position model. Lineage: Bacteria; Pseudomonadati; Pseudomonadota; Gammaproteobacteria; Enterobacterales; Enterobacteriaceae. The record is from RNAcentral.